RNAcentral lists this unclassified non-coding RNA (544 nucleotides) under Hevea brasiliensis (rubber tree). The record is from RNAcentral. Lineage: Eukaryota; Viridiplantae; Streptophyta; Magnoliopsida; Malpighiales; Euphorbiaceae.
GGACUUUUGGGAGCUCAAGUUACAACUCCUAAAGGAUCUUCUGCACCACCAGUGGCAUCUGUUGCACCUACGCCGAAUGUUCCAUAUGGUUCUAGCAAGCAAGGUGUACCAUGCAUUUUCUUCCAGCAAGGGUUUUGUUUAAAAGGUGAUAGGUGUCCAUUCUUCCAUGCACCAUUGUUUGGGUCUAACAAAGCUCCUCCACAUCCUGUAUCUACUGCAUCUGCAUCUACUGAGAAAACCAAUUUUAAGGCAUUUGGUGGGCUUGAAAAGUGCGUGCAAGAGAAAACAUUUUUUCAAACAAAUAUUUGGAAGUCUGGUGAAUUAUCUGUACAAGCACAACCAGUUGAGAAACUGAAAACUCCUUUGCCCAAGAAUAAUGCUGUCUUUAAUGGGAAUGUGCUGCCAUCCACUCCUGUCAUUGAUGUUGCGCAUAACAGGCACAAACCAAAAAGUGUGCCGCCUCCAAAUGGGAAUCCUGUCGGUAGAUCCAACAGAGUGCAACAGUCUGCUAGGUUUGAUGAUCACAGUAACUUUCAGAACAAAG